RNAcentral lists this long non-coding RNA (693 nucleotides) under Capsella rubella. RNAcentral's name for it is "long non-coding RNA (CRUB_LNC004723)". The record is from RNAcentral. Lineage: Eukaryota; Viridiplantae; Streptophyta; Magnoliopsida; Brassicales; Brassicaceae.
AGUAGUGUUUAACUGGUGGUGGUGGAGAUUUGUAAACGUAGUGUUUCUUUGGUGGGGGUGGGGAAUGGUAAACUGGGGGAGGAGAGUAGUGCUUAACCGGUGGUGGUGGAGAUUUGUAAACGUAGUGUUUCUUUGGUGGGGGUGGAGAAUGGUAAACUGGAGGGGGAGAAUAGUGCUUCACCGGAGGAGGAGGAGACUUGUAAACGUAAUGUUUCUUGGGUGGGGGUGGAGAGUGAUAAACCGGUGGGGGAGAGUAGUGCUUAACCGGAGGAGGUGGUGAUUUGUAGACGUAGUGUUUCUUUGGUGGUGGUGGGGAAUGGUAAACUGGGGGAGGAGAGUAAUGUUUGACCGGAGGAGGAGGAGAUUUGUAGACGUAGUGUUUCUUUGGUGGUGGUGGAGAAUGGUAAACUGGAGGGGGAGAGUAGUGCUUAACCGGAGGAGGAGGUGAUUUGUACACGUAGUGUUUCUUGGGUGGUGGUGGAGAGUGAUAAACCGGUGGGGGAGAGUAGUGUUUGACUGGAGGAGGAGGUGACUUGUACACGUAGUGUUUCUUUGGUGGGGGUGGAGAGUGAUAAACUGGUGGGGGAGAGUAGUGUUUAACCGGAGGAGGGGGAGACUUGUACACGUAGUGUUUCUUGGGUGGGGGUGGAGAAUGGUAAACCGGUGGAGGUGAGUAGUGUUUAACCGGUGGAG